GUAGCGAACAGGAUUAGAUACCCUGGUAGUCCAUGCCGUAAACGAUGAGUGCUAGGUGUUGGAGGGUUUCCGCCCUUCAGUGCCGGAGCUAACGCAUUAAGCACUCCGCCUGGGGAGUACGACCGCAAGGUUGAAACUCAAAGGAAUUGACGGGGGCCCGCACAAGCGGUGGAGCAUGUGGUUUAAUUCGAAGCUACGCGAAGAACCUUACCAGGUCUUGACAUCUUGCGCCAACCCUAGAGAUAGGGCGUUUCCUUCGGGAACGCAAUGACAGGUGGUGCAUGGUCGUCGUCAGCUCGUGUCGUGAGAUGUUGGGUUAAGUCCCGCAACGAGCGCAACCCUUGUUACUAGUCGCCAGCAUUAAGUUGGGCACUCUAGUGAGACCGCCGGUGACAAACCGGAGGAAGGUGGGGACGACGUCAGAUCAUCAUGCCCCUUAUGACCUGGGCUACACACGUGCUACAAUGGACGGUACAACGAGUCGCAAACUCGCGAGGGCAAGCAAAUCUCUUAAAACCGUUCUCAGUUCGGACUGCAGGCUGCAACUCGCCUGCACGAAGUCGGAAUCGCUAGUAAUCGCGGAUCAGCAUGCCGCGGUGAAUACGUUCCCGGGCCUUGUACACACCGCCCGUCACACCAUGAGAGUUUGUAACACCCAAAGUCGGUGGGGUAACCUUUUAGGAGCCAGCCGCCUAAGGUGGGACAGAUGAUUAGGGUGAAGUCGUA
Molecule: ribosomal RNA, 726 nt
Filed under: uncultured bacterium
Lineage: Bacteria
Description: bacterial SSU rRNA
Rfam family: Bacterial small subunit ribosomal RNA
Source: RNAcentral